RNAcentral lists this ribosomal RNA (333 nucleotides) under uncultured bacterium. RNAcentral describes it as "bacterial SSU rRNA". It matches the Rfam family "Bacterial small subunit ribosomal RNA", at positions 568 to 898 of the family's 1533-position model. The record is from RNAcentral.
CGCGUAGGCGGUUUUUUAAGUCAGAUAGUGUAAUCCCCGAGCUUAACUUGGGAACUGCAUCUGAGACUGGAAGGCUAGAGUACUGGAGAGGGUGGUGGAAUUCCUCGUGUAGCGGUGAAAUGCGUAGAGAUGAGGAGGAACACCAGUGGCGAAGGCGGCCACCUGGACAGUAACUGACGCUGAGGCGCGAAAGUGUGGGUAGCAAACAGGAUUAGAUACCCUGGUAGUCCACGCUGUAAACGAUGAACACUUGGUGUGGAGGGAGUUGACCCCUUCCGUGCCGGAGCUAACGCGUUAAGUGUUCCGCCUGGGGAGUACGGUCGCAAGGCUGAA